This 912-nucleotide ribosomal RNA is filed under the name uncultured Methanoculleus sp. RNAcentral's name for it is "bacterial SSU rRNA". It matches the Rfam family "Archaeal small subunit ribosomal RNA", at positions 1 to 922 of the family's 1478-position model. The record is from RNAcentral. Lineage: Archaea; Methanobacteriati; Methanobacteriota; Methanomicrobia; Methanomicrobiales; Methanomicrobiaceae.
UUCCGGUUGAUCCCGCCGGAAGUCACUGCUAUCGGGGUCCGAUUAAGCCGUGCGAGUCGAGAGGGUUCGGCCCUCGGCGUACUGCUCAGUAACACGUGGAUAACCUGCCCUAGGGAAGGGGAUAACCCCGGGAAACUGGGGAUAAUACCCUAUAGGUUACAGAUGCUGGAAUGCUCUGUAACCCAAAGUUCCGGCGCCCUAGGAUGGAUCUGCGGCCGAUUAGGUUGUUGUUGGGGUAAUGGCCCAACAAGCCAGUAAUCGGUACGGGUUGUGGGAGCAAGAGCCCGGAGUUGGAUUCUGAGACACGAAUCCAGGCCCUACGGGGCGCAGCAGGCGCGAAAACUUUACAAUGCGGGCAACCGUGAUAAGGGAACCUCGAGUGCCUGUAAAUGCAGGCUGUUUAGGUGUUUAAAACGCACCUGGAGAAAGGGCCGGGCAAGACCGGUGCCAGCCGCCGCGGUAAUACCGGCGGCUCGAGUGGUGGCCACUUUUAUUGGGCUUAAAGCGUUCGUAGCUGGGUUGUUAAGUCUCUUGGGAAAUCUGACGGCUUAACCGUCAGGCGUCUAAGAGAUACUGGCAAUCUUGGAACCGGGAGAGGUGAGGGGUACUUCGGGGGUAGGAGUGAAAUCCUGUAAUCCUCGAGGGACCACCUGUGGCGAAGGCGCCUCACCAGAACGGCUUCGACAGUGAGGGACGAAAGCUGGGGGAGCAAACCGGAUUAGAUACCCGGGUAGUCCCAGCCGUAAACGAUGUGCGUUAGGUGUAUCGGUGACCACGAGUCACCGAGGUGCCGAAGGGAAACCGUGAAACGUACCGCCUGGGAAGUACGGUCGCAAGGCUGAAACUUAAAGGAAUUGGCGGGGGAGCACCUCAACAGGUGGAGCCUGCGGUUUAAUUGGAUUCAACGCCGGA